Long non-coding RNA from Equus quagga, 3982 nucleotides. RefSeq lists it as uncharacterized. The transcript is spliced from 4 exons. The record is from RefSeq and is a predicted model, not a curated record. Lineage: Eukaryota; Metazoa; Chordata; Mammalia; Perissodactyla; Equidae.
ACCAGGGGUUCAAACAAGGUGUGGCAGGGACUGCCUACCUCUGCUCCGUAGUGUCUGGAGCCUCAGCUGGGAAGACUCAAAGGCUGGGGGCCAAUUCAAGGCCAUGAGGCUGGGAUCAUCUACAGGCUCAUCGCUCACAAGGCUGGCAGGCGGCACUGGCUGUGAGCUGGGACCUCAGUACAGCUGUCAGCCAGAACACUCACACUUGGCUGCUUCACACACUUGAGCUUCGUCACAGCAUGGCCACCUCAGGGCAGUCUUACACAGUGGCUCAUAGUUCAGGGCUCCCACUGUGAGUGUUCCAGCAAACAAGAUGGAAGCUGCAAAACCUUUUCCUACCUAGCUUCAGAAGUCACGGAGCAUCACUUCUGCCACAAUCAGUUGUCUACAAGCAAGUCAGAAGCCCACCUGGAUUCAAGGGGAGGGGAUAUAGACCUGGCUUUGCUUGGGAGGAUCAUAUCCACGACCCUAUGUGCAUUAAUUCUCCAUCCUAUGUGUCAGCAUUGUAGUAGGACUUUCCAUAUGUUACUUCCUAAUCUGAACAACAUCCCAAUGAAAGAUGGAUUGUUAUCUCCAAGCUACAGAUGAGAAGAGGGAGGCUCAAGAUGUGAGUUAAAUUGCCCAGAACACACUGCUAGUCUUCUCAUGGGGUCACGUGGAGAGGACCUGAAGAUAGAGGCUCUUGCUGUCAAUCAAGAAAUAUCUUAUCCCACAACCCAUGCCUGAUACAAAUAGGACUUUACCUAGCGUGUCUAAUAGAGCAACAAGUCACGUCCCGUGGCUCCAGGCCUGCAAUUCCACAGCAUACCAAAGUCAACCACAAGACUGCCUCCAACCUCACCCAAGUCAAGGGUGGAGGUGGGGCUGCUCUCUGCCCCCUGGGGAGGUAGACUCUAGGACCAAAUGGGUAUGUUCUUUGUUGAUUUCUCCUCCAGGGUUCUCCAGAGAGGUAGCAUUCCUGGAUGAUGGGGUACAGAGAGCUUUGAGAUUAACUUUCAAUAGAGCAACGCAAGCUCAGAUCUAGGGAAGAAUUGUCCACCUGAAAGCUGCUAGAAUAUUGGGGAAACAUCACUUCUUGCUAUUUAAUUCACUCAUCUGGGAUAAAAAGACAUCUCUUGGGGAUGACUUAGAUCAGUGGUGUCCAACCUUUUUCAGUAUGGAGAGCACAUUUUCAUCUGAAAAAAUUUAUAGACCUGCAGAUAAAGAUACUUAACGCUUUAGGAAUGCAUUCGUAGAGCAGUGCUUAAGAGCAGAGGCUAUCACCCUAAAAGGAAUUUGAAUGCUAUUAAUCACAACCUUCUCUAUAUAUUAUCCCAAAUCUGAGUUAUUGCUUUCACUCUGUGUUUCUGUAACUUUCUGUGCCUGUCUUCACCCCUGGACUGGAAACUCCAUAAGGCUGUGACUGGUUUGAUUUGUUCACUACCCACUGUAUACUCAGCACCUAGCACAGUUCCUGCACAAAGUAGGCACCUUAUGUAUACUUGUAGAAUGAAUGAAUAAAUACAUUGGAAGUGUCAGAAUAUAUGUACUUGAGUCAUGCCAUGAAGUCAACCUAUAGGUCCUGAUUCAUGCAAAUAUGGUGCUCGCAUGGGGUCCCAGGGUCCACAGAUUGGAAACCGUGGCUUUAGAUUUACAUCCUUGUGUCCAAUAUUUUGUUCCAUUUUCCCCAUAGGGAGCUUAAUGUUCAGUAGACCACAAACACCAGUCUCUGGGUUUAGAGACAAAUGAUAACUAAAGGCGGGAGCCUGCACCGCUUGACCUGCCUAAAUCCUUUCCAAAAUGGAAAGUCCAUGAAGAGGACAGAAUGCCCAGCUUAAAGGCUGGAACUUCCCAACAACCACGGAGACAGGGAGGUUGAUGACAGCUUCCUUCCACAGCCAGUUUCUAACAUUUGUAGGAGCAAAAAGUAAGGUAAUCUCUAAGAGCCUCUAGGCAAUCUAGUUGUUAUUUCAACCCCAAACAGCCUUGCAAAGGUACUUUGCCUGUUUCCUCUGUCAACCUAUUUGUGUGGAGUGUUGAUAACUAAAGUGACACACAGUAAAUACUCUGUGUCUUGUAAGGCAUUGGCUGGGAGUAGAGAUGAGUUGGGAAAUAUAGGAGUUGAAAGAAAGAAUGCUUGGUUUAAAAUAUGUGUAUGCAACAUGCCUCAUAGAGUGCGUGUAUUAAUAUUUAAAUGCUGACAUCUCUUCUCUCUUUAGACAACAGCUUUUUCUCUUGAUUCUCCCUGCUCCUCUGGAUAGUCUCCAAGCAAAGAGAGAGUGAGAUUCCAGGUGUGAACAAAUCAGGGAGGUUUCCUGCUUAAGAUUCAGAAAUUCGUAGCCCUGAGGAAAUGAGUAAAAGAGAGGAGGGGAGAGAACAAGAGAGAUGAAAAACAGAAUCUUCGCCACCUGCUAUUUAGUGAUUAACUCUCAGAUAAGGAAGGCAAAGAUGCAUUCCAGGGGCUCAGGACUUGCCCAGGCGGAACUCAGAGUGAAGGAGGGCUUGGAGCAAAGUGAGCCAGAGGUGGGCGGGGGAGACUGGGCCACUAAAAGCACCAUCUAUCAAUUUUCUCUCAAAGCCCCUCCAUUUCAUCUAGCCCCUUCCCUUCCAGCUCUUAAUAAUUUAAGUACCCUCUUUUUCAUUCACCCCUGCCUCACCUGCCUUGUUUUAUGUAAAGGAGUCUUGCAAAGACUAGCUCUGCCACUAACUGUGUGAACCCGGGCAAAUCACUUACCUUCUUAGAUACAGGUCUAGUGGCUGCUAUCUCUUGAGUUUAAAUCGCUUAAUCCAAAGCACAGGAAGGGAAGUCAACAAUAACAACCACCCAACCCAACAAAAAAUCCCCUAAUGCUGGGCGGCAGAAGUCCUGGGGAGUUUGCUGGUGAGCAGCCUCUCUUCUAGUUCUUACUUGCAUGCACACCAGGCUGAUUAAACCACGAUGGAAAGCUGGUGCUUAUCCAUUCCCUUACUGAGGAGCAGCCUGCUCAAUUGUGGUGUUUUGCUUUCUCGGUAGAAAGGGGUGGAAAUCAUUUUUGCAAAGCUUACUCUUCUUACCCAUGCAAAGCUUACAUGCAUGUGGCAUCUGUGGCCACAAACAUGACCCGGGUUCUGAGCAGAGGGGGCAGGGUGCUGUGUACUUGUCUGGGGUGCAAGGCGUCUUCCUCAUUAGCCUUUCCUGCUCCCUUUGUACUUGUGACGGAGAGUGUGUUGUCCUUGACAACCGGCAUGGGUUCAAUUUUUCCAACAUUGUGAGGUCAGCACGUUGGCUUUUAGCCUCUUAGAGCAGGUAAGAGCCAUUGAGCCUGGACAGAUACAAGAGCAAGUUACUAAUUCUUCCUGAUUUUCAUUUUACGCUGCUCCCAUAAAAAAUAACUGUAGAAAUUAUGCUGUGGUAGAAAAUAAAUACUCUGGCCAUUAAAAACUGGAAAUCACUAGCUUUGAAGUUUCUCCAAAAAAUACAGCCCCAGUUGCCGUGCAAACUCCAAUCAAACAUGGGCUGUAAAAAUCCAACUGUAGACAUUGCCUUGUAAAGUGUUCACAGAUGCAACAGCAGAAGAAAUUCUUACAGCCUAGAAAAAGCAAGACGUCUGCUUUUUUCCUUUCUUUCUGUCUUUUUUUUUUUUUGAGGGGAGAUGGAAGGGUUAUGCAUCAAACUGUUCAUUUCAAUAUGUAAUUUGCCUCAAAGAAUUUCUGACAAUUUAUUUUCUCACCAACCUAAAUCCAAUUCAAAAAACAUUUAUUGAAACCCGAACAAUCUACUUUUGGUUGACGAGUGCUAAUAGGUGCGAUGUUAUCCCAGUCAACUUAUAAGAUCACCUACUGAGCUUGGAGCUAAACAGGAAAAAGGAAAUUAAACUGGAGUUUGAAUUUGUUUCCUUCUAAAUUCCCCACCAUAGUUGGAGAUGGACAGUGCUUAAUGAAAAACAAAUUGCACUGUGGGCAUUUCUUUAUUUAAAAAAGCCAAUUUCUUUUUUUUUAAAGUUGGAAGAUGGUCACAUCUUAG